UGAGGAAUCUUCGGCAAUGGGGGCAACCCUGACCGAGCGACGCCGCGUGCGGGACGAAGGCCCUCGGGUCGUAAACCGCUUUUCCUUGGGACGAGGUAUACGGACGGUACCAGGGGAAGAAGCCUCGGCUAACUACGUGCCAGCAGCCGCGGUAAUACGUAGGAGGCGAGCGUUGUCCGGAGUUACUGGGCGUAAAGGGUGCGCAGGCGGCCGCGCGCGUGGGUGGUGAAAUCCCCCGGCUCAACCGGGGGGGGUCCAUCCAGACGGCGCGGCUUGAGGCCCGCAGGGGGGCGUGGAAUUCCGGGUGGAGCGGUGAAAUGCGUAGAGAUCCGGAGGAACGCCGACGGUGCAGACAGCGCCCUGGACGGGACCUGACGCUCAGGCACGAAAGCUGGGGGAGCGAACAGGAUUAGAUACCCCCGUAGUCC
RNAcentral lists this ribosomal RNA (428 nucleotides) under uncultured bacterium. Its description in RNAcentral is "partial 16S ribosomal RNA". It matches the Rfam family "Bacterial small subunit ribosomal RNA", at positions 355 to 796 of the family's 1533-position model. The record is from RNAcentral.